This 497-nucleotide ribosomal RNA is filed under the name uncultured bacterium. Its description in RNAcentral is "partial 16S ribosomal RNA". It matches the Rfam family "Bacterial small subunit ribosomal RNA", at positions 28 to 507 of the family's 1533-position model. The record is from RNAcentral.
GAUGAACGCUGGCGGCGUGCCUAAUACAUGCAAGUCGAGCGAACAGACGAGGAGCUUGCUCCUCUGACGUUAGCGGCGGACGGGUGAGUAACACGUGGAUAACCUACCUAUAAGACUGGGAUAACUUCGGGAAACCGGAGCUAAUACCGGAUAAUCUAUUGAACCGCAUGGUUCAAUAGUGAAAGACGGUUUUGCUGUCACUUCUAGCUGGAUCCGCGCCGUAUUAGCUAGUUGGUAAGGUAACGGCUUACCAAGGCAACGAUGCGUAGCCGAACUGAGAGGGUGAUCGGCCACACGGGAACUGAGACACGGUCCAGACUCCUACGGGAGGCAGCAGUAGGGAAUCUUACGCAAUGGGCGAAAGCAUGACGGAGCAACGCCGCGUGAGUGAUGAAGGUCUCCGGAUCGUAAAACUCUGUUAUUAGGGAAGAACAAAUGUGUAAGUAACUAUGCACGUCUUGACGGUACCUAAUCAGAAAGCCACGGCUAACUACGUG